RNAcentral lists this long non-coding RNA (1273 nucleotides) under Capra hircus (goat). Its description in RNAcentral is "lncRNA (ENSCHIG00000002853.1)". Lineage: Eukaryota; Metazoa; Chordata; Mammalia; Artiodactyla; Bovidae. The record is from RNAcentral.
CUCACCUUGAAUAGGUCACUUUCACACACACACACACACACACACACACACACACACACACAGAGGGGUGGGUCCAUGUCCCUUUGAGUGGACUACCACUUCUUUCCUCUAGUCUCACUUACCUGUGGUUGUCGACAUUUCCUCCCAGUGCACCAAGAAAUCCCAAAGACAGGCCUGACAGUCUCCCAUGGAGACCUUCUUGAAGAAGUUGCUCACAGCCCUGUCCUUCUCCCACUUCUCUCUCAUCCGUCUCCCUCCAGAAUGAACCACUGUCCAGUGUCCAUUCUCCAAAUCAAAGAGGAGGCACAUUUGUCCACUGAAGCCAAACUGCCAGGAUCCACUGAUGUGUCCAUCCUCUUCACAUCGACAUGUCAUCCUGCCCUGCAAGGUACCCAGGAUCGGCCAACACACAGCCUUUCUGGAUACAUGCCAGAUGGCUCUGCAGGAAAAGCCUAGAUGGAAGAGGACUUUCAGAACCGAACCCAGUGUCCUGCCAGAGAUGGAGAGCAUGUGGGGGCUGCUUCUGAGGAGCAUUUCAUUUAUAGAAUGGAGCCCCUUUUCAGAAUGCAUCCCCAGAGAAGGAAGCCACGUUCCAGUGAGGAGUGCCCUUUCAUCACCACAGAUCCUUUCUGGAGGUGCAGGCAUCUCUCAGCCAAGAUGGAUUCCAGGGAGGAUUCUGGCAAGCUGAUAGGACAUAUGGACUGUCGUAUCCUCUCCCCUUUGGACCUUCCCCCAAUUCUUCUGGUUGAUGGUAUCUUGUAAGUGCUGCAUUCCUCACCAGGACUUCUGGUUGUAAGCCAAUUCAUGCAAAUGGUCUGUAUCAGGCCAGGCUAGGGCCCGUGGUUUUGGUCAAUGGUUCCCAUAACAGAGCCUUUGUGGAGGAUUUUCCCCCCUCACGUUUGUCUCAUUCAGUCAGUCUUUUGUGCUGCCUCUAACCAAGAUUUCAGCAUCUCUGAAUUCACUUCUUUGGGCUAUCUAUCCGGUGAUGAAGAGUGGGCUCAUCACCUGUUGGGACUGACAAGCCCUCUUGAUUCUUUGAAAGUGGGUCCUUGUCUUUGGACAUUAUUUUUCACUCCAGGAGACUGCCAGUGACAUCAACGUCUGUGACAGAGGGCUCCAUCUCUGUUAUCAUGGGGGCUCUGGCCUUUGCUGGCUUCAGGGGUGACUGAGCCCUGAACUAGGAGGGGCAUGUGGAGUCUUCAGCACGGGCAGUGCCCCAUUCAUGUCUUGUCACUGAGUGAGGCUGGGUUUCCUAUUUAUAGAUGCAAGAAGG